GGGUUGUGAGGUUAAGCGACUAAGCGUACACGGUGGAUGCCCUGGCAGUCAGAGGCGAUGAAGGACGUGCUAAUCUGCGAAAAGCGUCGGUAAGGUGAUAUGAACCGUUACAGCCGGCGAUGUCCGAAUGGGGAAACCCAGUGCAAUUCGUUGCACUAUCGUUAACUGAAUACAUAGGUUAACGAGGCGAACCGGGGGAACUGAAACAUCUAAGUACCCCGAGGAAAAGAAAUCAACCGAGAUUCCCCCAGUAGCGGCGAGCGAACGGGGAGCAGCCCAGAGUCUGAAUCAGCUUGUGUGUUAGUGGAACGGUCUGGAAAGUCCGACGGUACAGGGUGAUAGUCCCGUACACCAAAAUGCACAGGCUGUGAACUCGAAGAGUAGGGCGGGACACGUGGUAUCCUGUCUGAAUAUGGGGGGACCAUCCUCCAAGGCUAAAUACUCCUGACUGACCGAUAGUGAACCAGUACCGUGAGGGAAAGGCGAAAAGAACCCCGGCGAGGGGAGUGAAAAAGAACCUGAAACCGUGUACGUACAAGCAGUGGGAGCACCUUCGGGUGUGACUGCGUACCUUUUGUAUAAUGGGUCAGCGACUUAUAUUCUGUAGCAAGGUUAACCGUAUAGGGGAGCCGCAGGGAAACCGAGUCUUAACUGGGCGUUAAGUUGCAGGGUAUAGACCCGAAACCCGGUGAUCUAGCCAUGGGCAGGUUGAAGGUUGGGUAACACUAACUGGAGGACCGAACCGACUAAUGUUGAAAAAUUAGCGGAUGACUUGUGGCUGGGGGUGAAAGGCCAAUCAAACCGGGAGAUAGCUGGUUCUCCCCGAAAGCUAUUUAGGUAGCGCCUCGUGAACUCAUCUUCGGGGGUAGAGCACUGUUUCGGCUAGGGGGUCAUCCCGACUUACCAACCCGAUGCAAACUACGAAUACCGAAGAAUGUUAUCACGGGAGACACACGGCGGGUGCUAACGUCCGUCGUGAAGAGGGAAACAACCCAGACCGCCAGCUAAGGUCCCAAAGUCAUGGUUAAGUGGGAAACGAUGUGGGAAGGCACAGACAGCCAGGAUGUUGGCUUAGAAGCAGCCAUCAUUUAAAGAAAGCGUAAUAGCUCACUGGUCGAGUCGGCCUGCGCGGAAGAUGUAACGGGGCUAAACCAUGCACCGAAGCUGCGGCAGCGACACUAUGUGUUGUUGGGUAGGGGAGCGUUCUGUAAGCCUGCGAAGGUGUGCUGUGAGGCAUGCUGGAGGUAUCAGAAGUGCGAAUGCUGACAUAAGUAACGAUAAAGCGGGUGAAAAGCCCGCUCGCCGGAAGACCAAGGGUUCCUGUCCAACGUUAAUCGGGGCAGGGUGAGUCGACCCCUAAGGCGAGGCCGAAAGGCGUAGUCGAUGGGAAACAGGUUAAUAUUCCUGUACUUGGUGUUACUGCGAAGGGGGGACGGAGAAGGCUAUGUUAGCCGGGCGACGGUUGUCCCGGUUUAAGCAUGUAGGCUGGUUGUCCAGGCAAAUCCGGAUAAUCAAGGCUGAGGUGUGAUGACGAGGCACUACGGUGCUGAAGUAACAAAUGCCCUGCUUCCAGGAAAAGCCUCUAAGCAUCAGGUAACAUCAAAUCGUACCCCAAACCGACACAGGUGGUCAGGUAGAGAAUACCAAGGCGCUUGAGAGAACUCGGGUGAAGGAACUAGGCAAAAUGGUGCCGUAACUUCGGGAGAAGGCACGCUGGUGUGUAGGUGAAGUCCCUGCGGAUGGAGCUGAGACCAGUCGAAGAUACCAGCUGGCUGCAACUGUUUAUUAAAAACACAGCACUGUGCAAACACGAAAGUGGACGUAUACGGUGUGACGCCUGCCCGGUGCCGGAAGGUUAAUUGAUGGGGUUAUCCGUAAGGAGAAGCUCUUGAUCGAAGCCCCGGUAAACGGCGGCCGUAACUAUAACGGUCCUAAGGUAGCGAAAUUCCUUGUCGGGUAAGUUCCGACCUGCACGAAUGGCGUAAUGAUGGCCAGGCUGUCUCCACCCGAGACUCAGUGAAAUUGAACUCGCUGUGAAGAUGCAGUGUACCCGCGGCAAGACGGAAAGACCCCGUGAACCUUUACUAUAGCUUGACACUGAACAUUGAGCCUUGAUGUGUAGGAUAGGUGGGAGGCUUUGAAGCGUGGACGCCAGUCUGCGUGGAGCCAACCUUGAAAUACCACCCUUUAAUGUUUGAUGUUCUAACGUUGGCCCCUGACCGGGGUUGCGGACAGUGUCUGGUGGGUAGUUUGACUGGGGCGGUCUCCUCCCAAAGCGUAACGGAGGAGCACGAAGGUUAGCUAAUCCUGGUCGGACAUCAGGAGGUUAGUGCAAUGGCAUAAGCUAGCUUGACUGCGAGCGUGACGGCGCGAGCAGGUGCGAAAGCAGGUCAUAGUGAUCCGGUGGUUCUGAAUGGAAGGGCCAUCGCUCAACGGAUAAAAGGUACUCCGGGGAUAACAGGCUGAUACCGCCCAAGAGUUCAUAUCGACGGCGGUGUUUGGCACCUCGAUGUCGGCUCAUCACAUCCUGGGGCUGAAGUAGGUCCCAAGGGUAUGGCUGUUCGCCAUUUAAAGUGGUACGCGAGCUGGGUUUAGAACGUCGUGAGACAGUUCGGUCCCUAUCUGCCGUGGGCGCUGGAGAAUUGAGGGGGGCUGCUCCUAGUACGAGAGGACCGGAGUGGACGCAUCACUGGUGUUCGGGUUGUCAUGCCAAUGGCACUGCCCGGUAGCUAAAUGCGGAAGAGAUAAGUGCUGAAAGCAUCUAAGCACGAAACUUGCCCCGAGAUGAGUUCUCCCUGAGACUUUAAGUCUCCUGAAGGAACGUUGAAGACGACGACGUUGAUAGGCCGGGUGUGUAAGCGCAGCGAUGCGUUGAGCUAACCGGUACUAAUGAACCGUGAGGCUUAACCUUACAACGCCGAAG
This 2923-nucleotide ribosomal RNA is filed under the name Klebsiella pneumoniae. Its description in RNAcentral is "bacterial LSU rRNA". It matches the Rfam family "Bacterial large subunit ribosomal RNA". Lineage: Bacteria; Pseudomonadati; Pseudomonadota; Gammaproteobacteria; Enterobacterales; Enterobacteriaceae. The record is from RNAcentral.